Zea mays is the source of this 536-nucleotide RNA transcript. RefSeq lists it as uncharacterized. The transcript is spliced from 5 exons. Lineage: Eukaryota; Viridiplantae; Streptophyta; Magnoliopsida; Poales; Poaceae. The record is from RefSeq and is a predicted model, not a curated record.
GGCUACCAGUAACCGCCCACUUCCCCAAAACCUGCCACGCUUGAACGGCUCUCAAUCCCAACCCUAACAGCACCGUCUCUCGGAUCUGAUCUGAUCUGAUCCUCCAAUUCGUUCGUCCACGUCUCGCCAUGGAGGACGAGGAACUUGUUGAUCAGAAGAAAUAUCUUGAGGAACGAUGCAAGCCGCAAUGUGUAAAAUCACUUUACGAAUAUGAGAAAUGCGUCAAGAGAGUUGAGAAUGAUGAUACUGGUCACAAACACUGCACUGGGCAAUACUUUGAUUACUGGUCAUGCAUCGACAAAUGUGUAGCAUCAAAGCUCUUUAAGAAGCUCAAAUGAUUUGUGCGAUGUGAUGCGACUUCUGACAAAGUGAAUCGAAUUUGCAUACCUUACACCUUUGGAAAGUAGCACUGGAAAUUUGACUUCUCUUCAGGAUGUGUUUGGUUCAAGUGUGUGGAUGUGUUUGGUUCAAGUGUGUGAGAAAAAAACUGAAAGUUGUUUGAUUUAAACUAUUGUAAGUUAUCUAUUGUAAGUAAA